Molecule: long non-coding RNA, 1558 nt
Organism: Megalobrama amblycephala (Wuchang bream)
Lineage: Eukaryota; Metazoa; Chordata; Actinopteri; Cypriniformes; Xenocyprididae
Exons: 3
Source: RefSeq, a predicted model, not a curated record
UCUGCAAUGUGACCAGUUUUGUGUACUUUAAGACGCAAUUCAGUUCCACUUCGUUUAUAGACACUUUUCAAGCUCCACAAAUGUAAGACGAUCCCGUAAAUUUGUAAAUUUCAAUUUAGUCCACUAUUUGCGACCCCUAUACUGUUUACAUUCAGCCACACAUCAAAACGUUGUGAUGUUUUCCGUUCUACUAUAGAAGACGGCACAGCCAAUCUGGUGCGUAGUAGCCUACACAAGCAAACUCGUUUUUUAAUCAUAAAAAUAGUUUAUGUAAGUAAAUUAUAUUGGAGCUCGAGGAGAAAUGAGUCAUAUAAAAACACCAUACCCCUUUAACACAAGUGACUAUGGGAUUAGCACGUUAAUACAUAAAAAAAGAGAAAGGAAUAUAGCUAAAUACCUAUAUGUGACAGAGCUGGAUUAGUUUAGAUGCAGGUUUGAUGACCAUCCCUUCAAAUCGUGAUUGCACUUAUAUUUGUUUUAACAUCAGUAGGCAUAAUUUGUUUACAGGCAAAGCAGGACAGACAGGACAGCUACAGAUGAACCUAAGGACCCAGACAGCUCGUCACAUCAGUCACCUCGCUAUUGAGAUGGCAAAUCCUAUCUAACUCAGUGCUAGUCACGCCUAGUCUACCACAGCAGGGUCACUGAGGUCAAGGAUCCCUGCUGUGCUCCGGCCACGAUACUCUGCUGCACCCCCAGGAGUCAAACACGCACACAUACACACAUGCCAAGGCACUGACCUUGAGUUUCCAUGGCAACCACUCUGCUCCACAUGAAGCUACACUUAAGUAAACAGGCAUGCAUACACAGUCUUACGCAAUUAAGGUAUGUUUAACACACUGGCCUAUUAACUCCAAUUAUACUAAGUCUGUAAAAGGAAUAAUAUUAAAUGUAGAAAAGGUAGAAAACAGUAAUUUAGCAGAUUCUUCAGGUGAAUUGCUGUAGUCUGCAGGGUCAGUCCCCAUGAAGAAACCUUAUUUAAGUGCCUUUAUCAAGGACUCGAGAUUGAUAGCUGAAGUUACACUCUUUGUGGGGCUUGAACCAACAACCUUCUGAUAAGCAGCCCUCGGCCUUGCCGAUUAACAUUAUUUGUCAACAAAUUUUUAAUAUCUUUCCUUUACUAACUAAAAACAUACAGUCUGGUAGAAACAAGCUUUAUGAGAUCUGCAACACAAUUAAAACUACAUUGCCUUGUCAAACAAUCCCCAUUUUUACUAACAAACUGGUCCAAGUAACUAAACCAGGUUAAUGUUUGAUGACAAAUAGGUCUCAGAAUUCUUCAAAAGAAUAUUUAACAAUCUGUAGCAUCAAACACAUUAGUUAUUUAUUUAUUUAUUUAUUUAUUUUUACAAUUUAGUAUUACCUGCAGAUAUUCACAGUCAGAUGUUGGUAAAUUGUUACUUUGAAUUAAUGUCUCAAUACUCAAUUUUCUAGAUUUUAAAAAGUUGAUGGAAAAAUUUGGAGUGAGUUUAUUGUUGAUCACUUCAUAAGGACAGGAUAACAUUUUUGAUGAUCAAUAAUUAUGGAGCACUAUAAUGCUGUUCAAGUAUUAAAUGAG